RNAcentral lists this ribosomal RNA (642 nucleotides) under Salmonella enterica subsp. enterica serovar Montevideo. Its description in RNAcentral is "partial 23S ribosomal RNA". It matches the Rfam family "Bacterial large subunit ribosomal RNA", at positions 140 to 821 of the family's 2925-position model. The record is from RNAcentral. Lineage: Bacteria; Pseudomonadati; Pseudomonadota; Gammaproteobacteria; Enterobacterales; Enterobacteriaceae.
UCGUCACACUAUCAUUAACUGAAUCCAUAGGUUAAUGAGGCGAACCGGGGGAACUGAAACAUCUAAGUACCCCGAGGAAAAGAAAUCAACCGAGAUUCCCCCAGUAGCGGCGAGCGAACGGGGAGGAGCCCAGAGCCUGAAUCAGCAUGUGUGUUAGUGGAAGCGUCUGGAAAGGCGCGCGAUACAGGGUGACAGCCCCGUACACAAAAGCGCAUGUGCUGUGAGCUCGAUGAGUAGGGCGGGACACGUGGUAUCCUGUCUGAAUAUGGGGGGACCAUCCUCCAAGGCUAAAUACUCCUGACUGACCGAUAGUGAACCAGUACCGUGAGGGAAAGGCGAAAAGAACCCCGGCGAGGGGAGUGAAAAAGAACCUGAAACCGUGUACGUACAAGCAGUGGGAGCACAGGUUUACCUGUGUGACUGCGUACCUUUUGUAUAAUGGGUCAGCGACUUAUAUUCUGUAGCAAGGUUAACCGAAUAGGGGAGCCGGAGGGAAACCGAGUCUUAAUUGGGCGUUAAGUUGCAGGGUAUAGACCCGAAACCCGGUGAUCUAGCCAUGGGCAGGUUGAAGGUUGGGUAACACUAACUGGAGGACCGAACCGACUAAUGUUGAAAAAUUAGCGGAUGACCUGUGGCUGGGGG